UACGUAGGGUGCGAGCGUUAAUCGGAAUUACUGGGCGUAAAGCGUGCGCAGGCGGUUCGUUAAGUCAGAUGUGAAAGCCCCGGGCUCAACCUGGGAACUGCAUUUGAAACUGGCGGGCUUGAGUGUGGCAGAGGGGGGUGGAAUUCCGCGUGUAGCAGUGAAAUGCGUAGAUAUUGGGAAGAACACCGGUGGCGAAGGCGGCGACCUGGUCCUUUACUGACGCUGAGGCGCGAAAGCGUGGGGAGCAAACAGG
This 253-nucleotide ribosomal RNA is filed under the name uncultured bacterium. Its description in RNAcentral is "partial 16S ribosomal RNA". It matches the Rfam family "Bacterial small subunit ribosomal RNA", at positions 524 to 776 of the family's 1533-position model. The record is from RNAcentral.